RNAcentral lists this ribosomal RNA (253 nucleotides) under uncultured bacterium. RNAcentral describes it as "partial 16S ribosomal RNA". It matches the Rfam family "Bacterial small subunit ribosomal RNA", at positions 524 to 776 of the family's 1533-position model. The record is from RNAcentral.
UACAGAGGGUGCGAGCGUUAAUCGGAAUUACUGGGCGUAAAGCGUGCGUAGACGGUUAUUUAAGUCAGAUGUGAAAUCCCCGGGCUCAACCCGGGAACUGCGUCCGAUACUGGCAGGCUUGAAUCCGGGAGAGGGAUGUGGAAUUCCAGGUGUAGCGGUGAAAUGCGUAGAUAUCUGGAGGAACACCGGUGGCGAAGGCGGCAUCCUGGACCGGUAUUGACGCUGAGGCGCGAAAGCCAGGGGAGCAAACGGG